Long non-coding RNA from Cynoglossus semilaevis (tongue sole), 820 nucleotides. RefSeq lists it as uncharacterized. The transcript has 6 exons. The record is from RefSeq and is a predicted model, not a curated record. Lineage: Eukaryota; Metazoa; Chordata; Actinopteri; Pleuronectiformes; Cynoglossidae.
CUGUUCGGCAGAGCUCAGGAGCCGCUGACCGUCUUCACUAAUCCAGGUUUUGAGCCAGCCAAGGGCACAGUCGCAACGCCAGGGGUUCUCUGUCGGAAAAACCAGUCAGGGAAUCAGACAACAUCUAAGUCCUCAGCAGCAAAUUCCGGCAUGCUACUCCAGUGUCUCCCCUUUGGAACCCUUUGAAAAGUGACUACAUGAUGAUGUCAUAAUGGCCGGAGACAUGGCGUUUUAAGGAUUCCUCUCCUGUCUCUGCCUACCUGUGACACGAAGCACCUGCAGGCUGACAAGCGGUUUGAGGGAUGAUGCUCCCAGGGUGCGGAGGUGAUUUCUGCUGAGGUCCAGCAGAGCCAGAGAUGACAGGCCUGACAGGGCUUGCUCAGCCAACAGCUCUAUGCUGUUCUCCUGCAGGUGGAGUUCCUGCAGACGCUGCAGACAUCAAAAAGACGUACAGCACGGGGGAGAGAAAAGGUGAAAGAUGGGUUUUUUACUGGAUACUCUUGGUGUAACGGAAGCAGAAACCAGGGACCAGGGACUCGAUGGAAUUGAACCAACUCAAACAGUGGAUCCAGGCCUAUGGAAGUCCUGAGUAACGGUCGACCGACGCACCCGCAGGAAGAAAAUGUCCUGAGGAAAACCUGAUUCCAGACCAGACUCAUCCCUGGGAUCACGGCUCUAAAUGUCAUUGCGCCCCCUGAAGGUGUGGUCCUGCACUCUGGUGAUCUGGUUUCCGGCCAGGUAGAGGAUUCGGAGGUGCUCCAGACCCCGGAACAUGUCUGCGGUGACGAGGUGGAUGAGAUUUCCAUUGAGAGCGAGCUCA